UGAAUCCAUAGGUUAAUGAGGCGAACCGGGGGAACUGAAACAUCUAAGUACCCCGAGGAAAAGAAAUCAACCGAGAUUCCCCCAGUAGCGGCGAGCGAACGGGGAGGAGCCCAGAGCCUGAAUCAGCAUGUGUGUUAGUGGAAGCGUCUGGAAAGGCGCGCGAUACAGGGUGACAGCCCCGUACACAAAAGCGCAUGUGCUGUGAGCUCGAUGAGUAGGGCGGGACACGUGGUAUCCUGUCUGAAUAUGGGGGGACCAUCCUCCAAGGCUAAAUACUCCUGACUGACCGAUAGUGAACCAGUACCGUGAGGGAAAGGCGAAAAGAACCCCGGCGAGGGGAGUGAAAAAGAACCUGAAACCGUGUACGUACAAGCAGUGGGAGCCCCACCACCAAAGCAUUUGCUGUACCGCGUUGACGGAGCGAAGCGACGUCAAACCGAUAAAACAGCAGUGUAAAGUGAGCCGCAGGGCGCUUUGCGCGACAGCGCAAAGGCAGGCGGUUUCGCGUAGCGAAAGCGAAUGCUUUGGGGUGG
RNAcentral lists this ribosomal RNA (533 nucleotides) under Salmonella enterica subsp. enterica serovar Enteritidis. Its description in RNAcentral is "partial 23S ribosomal RNA". The stretch from base 1 to 368 matches the Rfam family "Bacterial large subunit ribosomal RNA", at positions 159 to 565 of the family's 2925-position model. The record is from RNAcentral. Lineage: Bacteria; Pseudomonadati; Pseudomonadota; Gammaproteobacteria; Enterobacterales; Enterobacteriaceae.